Molecule: small nuclear RNA, 110 nt
Organism: Arvicanthis niloticus (Nile rat)
Lineage: Eukaryota; Metazoa; Chordata; Mammalia; Rodentia; Muridae
Source: RefSeq, a predicted model, not a curated record
GUGUUCACAUAUCCUACAGCACAUAUUCAAAAAUUAGAACAGUCCAACAAAGCUUAGCAUGUCCCUUGAGCAAGGAGGACAAGAAAUUGUGUGAAUCAAUCCAUACAUUA